RNAcentral lists this small nuclear RNA (100 nucleotides) under Canis lupus dingo (dingo). The record is from RNAcentral. Lineage: Eukaryota; Metazoa; Chordata; Mammalia; Carnivora; Canidae.
UUGCUUUGGCAACACAUACACUAAAAGUGGAACGAUACAGAGAUUAGCAUGGCCCCUGUGCAAGGAUGACACGCAAAUUCGUGAAGCGUUCCAUAUUUUU